UAAGUAUCUCAGAUGACUGCAUGGCUUUCUUUUUGAAUGCUAUGAGGAAAGUCCGGACUCCAAGUGGCCCCGACUUAAUCGGGGUGGACGCCUGCGAGAGCAGGGAGGGAGUGAUCUUUCGGAUAAAAGGGCAACAGAAAGUAAACCGCCCCGCUUGCUUGCAAUAUGCGCUGCGUACUGUAAGUUAGCGGGGUGAGGGUGAAAUGGUGGUGUAAGAGACCACCGGUCUGAUCAGUAAUGGUCAGAUGCAUUGCAACCCCCGUUCGGAGCAAGGCAAAUAUACUGCUGCAUCCUAUUUCGCGCUUUGCUUGUAAAGUCUAGUGCGAUUAUGGGUCCCGCUAACUUGUGGCAUAAGAUAUGUUUAUACGAAAUUUUGUGCUAGGGGUUAGCGGGAAGAGAGAUAGUCAUCUGAAACAGAAUCCGGCUUAUGAGCUGCUUAGUCC
Molecule: RNase P RNA, 443 nt
Filed under: Candidatus Dojkabacteria bacterium
Lineage: Bacteria
Description: RNase P RNA component class A
Rfam family: Bacterial RNase P class A
About the family: Ribonuclease P (RNase P) is a ubiquitous endoribonuclease, found in archaea, bacteria and eukarya as well as chloroplasts and mitochondria. Its best characterised activity is the generation of mature 5'-ends of tRNAs by cleaving the 5'-leader elements of precursor-tRNAs. Cellular RNase Ps are ribonucleoproteins.
Source: RNAcentral